AUUUAAGCCACCAAUAUGAAAGAAACCAAGUAGAGUUCUCCAUGGACUGGCGUAAGAAUUCUAGAAUCAGCUACUGCCGUAAGUUGAUUAGAAAUAAGAUAUAUGCAAUUCUUAGUUCCGGAGCCAAUACAACAGGCAUCUGAAAUUGCAAAUAUUCUGGAAGAGUGGUUGUUUAUUGAUGCUACUUUAGAGGAGGAGUAUAUGAACGAGGAGACGUUGAUACAGCGAUUUCAUACUCAACUGAAUACGGUGUUUAGGACAAAAUGCAGUCAACUACAACUAGAUAGUUCGAUUCCUUCCACAUCUCAUACAGUACCCUCAUCUCAGACAAAAUGCAGUCAACUACAACUAAGUAUGAACUGGCUGGGCCAUAGAAGCUUUACCACGAAGCUCAUAUUGCUGCCUAAGAUGUUUGAAAUUCUGUUGAAAAUUCAACUUCUGGGGUUGACAUUGCCUUAUAUCUCCAAGGCUUGAACUAGAGGUCAGGACGGGAAAAAGAUUGGAAACAUCUGAAAUUUCCCUUGACAGAUGUUGAGAUUGCAGCAAAUUUGAAGAUUCAAAUUGGAGGGAUUUUCCCGUUAUAGUAUGAAAAGCCAUAAACUCAUUUUUCCGGGUAGUUCUCGAAUAACCUCUAUAUCCAAUUUUGUCUUGCAUGCCCUCAAAAAAUAGCUUUUGCAUUGAACAUAAAUGGCAUGUGUUAGCAUCCAUUC
Molecule: long non-coding RNA, 710 nt
Organism: Gastrolobium bilobum
Lineage: Eukaryota; Viridiplantae; Streptophyta; Magnoliopsida; Fabales; Fabaceae
Exons: 3
Source: RefSeq, a predicted model, not a curated record